GGGAAACUGGGGUCAAUGUCCGAUAGGUGAAGACUCCUGGAAUGGAUUUUUGCCUAAAGGGCGCUUAGGGCAUGCUUCUAGGCGUUGCCCAAGGAUGGGGCCGCGGCCGAUCAGGUUGUUGGUGAGGUAAUGGCUCACCAAGCCUUUUACCGGUUCGGGCCGUGGGAGCGGAAGCCCGGAGAUGGGUGCUGAGACAAGAACCCAGGCCCUACGGGGCGCAGCAGUCGCGAAAACUUCGCAAUAAGCGAAAGCUUGACGGGGCUAUCCCGAGUGCCAUCUGCUGAGGAUGGCUUUUACCCAGUGUAGAUAGCUGGGAGAAUAGGGAGAGGGCAAGUCUGGUGUCAGCCGCCGCGGUAAUACCAGCUCUCCGAGUGGUGGGGAUGAUUAUUGGGCCUAAAGCAUCCGUAGCCGGCUGAGCAAGUCCUCUGUUAAACCCAACGAAUUAAUCGCUGGCCUGCGGGGGAUACUGUUCGGCUAGGGGGCGAGAGAGGCCGUCGGUAUUUCCGGGGUAGGGGUGAAAUCCUAUAAUCCCGGGAGGACCACCAGUGGCGGAGGCUGUCGGCUAGAACGCGCCCGACGGUGAGGGAUGAAAGCUGGGGGAGCGAACCGGAUUAGAUACCCGGGUAGUCCCAGCUGUAAACGAUGCAGGCUAGGUGUUAGGGCGGCUACGUGCCCGCUCUAGUGCCGCAGGGAAGCUGUUAAGCCUGCCGCCUGGGGAGUACGGGUCGCAAGGCUGAAACUUAA
This 744-nucleotide ribosomal RNA is filed under the name uncultured archaeon. RNAcentral's name for it is "bacterial SSU rRNA". It matches the Rfam family "Archaeal small subunit ribosomal RNA", at positions 134 to 859 of the family's 1478-position model. The record is from RNAcentral.